UCAGUGCACGCCUUUAUACGGUGAAACCGCGAAUGGCUCAUUAAAUCAGCUAUGGUUUACUGGACCGUACCCGUUAAAUGGAUAACUGUAAUAACUCUAGAGCUAAUACAUGCAACUAUGCCCUGACCCGCAAGGGAAGGGGUGCACUUAUUAGAUCAGAAGCCAACCGGGCAUCGGUCGCAAGGCCGGUGUCUGUUGUCGUUCUGGUGACUCUGGAUAAUUGUUACAGAUCGCAGUCGGCCAUGAGUCGGCGACGGGUCCUCCAAAUGUCUGCCCUAUCAACUUUCGAUGGUAGGUGACCUGCCUACCAUGGUGAUAACGGGUAACGGGGAAUCAGGGUUCGAUUCCGGAGAGGGAGCCUGAGAAACGGCUACCACUUCCAAGGGAGGCAGCAGGCGCGCAAAUUACCCACUCCCAGCACGGG
RNAcentral lists this ribosomal RNA (424 nucleotides) under Bothriocephalus scorpii. RNAcentral's name for it is "SSU rRNA". It matches the Rfam family "Eukaryotic small subunit ribosomal RNA", at positions 60 to 460 of the family's 1831-position model. Lineage: Eukaryota; Metazoa; Platyhelminthes; Cestoda; Bothriocephalidea; Bothriocephalidae. The record is from RNAcentral.